This 546-nucleotide ribosomal RNA is filed under the name uncultured bacterium. RNAcentral describes it as "bacterial SSU rRNA". It matches the Rfam family "Bacterial small subunit ribosomal RNA", at positions 777 to 1320 of the family's 1533-position model. The record is from RNAcentral.
AAUAGAUACCCCGGUAGUCCACGCCGUAAACGAUGAGUGCUAAGUGUUAGGGGGGUUUCCGCCCCUUAGUGCUGCAGCUAACGCAUUAAGCACUCCGCCUGGGGAGUACGGUCGCAAGACUGAAACUCAAAGGAAUUGACGGGGGCCCGCACAAGCGGUGGAGCAUGUGGUUUAAUUCGAAGCAACGCGAAGAACCUUACCAGGUCUUGACAUCCCAUUGACCGCUAUGGAGACAUAGUUUUCCCUUCGGGGACAGUGGUGACAGGUGGUGCAUGGUUGUCGUCAGCUCGUGUCGUGAGAUGUUGGGUUAAGUCCCGCAACGAGCGCAACCCUUGUUCUUAGUUGCCAUCAUUUAGUUGGGCACUCUAAGGAGACUGCCGGUGACAAACCGGAGGAAGGUGGGGAUGACGUCAAAUCAUCAUGCCCCUUAUGACCUGGGCUACACACGUGCUACAAUGGACGGUACAAACGGUUGCCAACCCGCGAGGGGGAGCUAAUCCGAUAAAACCGUUCUCAGUUCGGAUUGUAGGCUGCAACUCGCCUACA